This 465-nucleotide ribosomal RNA is filed under the name Vreelandella stevensii. Its description in RNAcentral is "partial 16S ribosomal RNA". It matches the Rfam family "Bacterial small subunit ribosomal RNA", at positions 338 to 795 of the family's 1533-position model. The record is from RNAcentral. Lineage: Bacteria; Pseudomonadati; Pseudomonadota; Gammaproteobacteria; Oceanospirillales; Halomonadaceae.
CCUACGGGUGGCUGCAGUGGGGAAUAUUGGACAAUGGGGGGAACCCUGAUCCAGCCAUGCCGCGUGUGUGAAGAAGGCCCUCGGGUUGUAAAGCACUUUCAGUGGGGAAGAACGCCUGGUGGUUAAUACCCAUCAGGAAAGACAUCACUCACAGAAGAAGCACCGGCUAACUCCGUGCCAGCAGCCGCGGUAAUACGGAGGGUGCGAGCGUUAAUCGGAAUUACUGGGCGUAAAGCGCGCGUAGGUGGCUUGAUAAGCCGGUUGUGAAAGCCCCGGGCGCAACCUGGGAACGGCAUCCGGAACUGUCAAGCUAGAGUGCAGGAGAGGAAGGUAGAAUUCCCGGUGUAGCGGUGAAAUGCGUAGAGAUCGGGAGGAAUACCAGUGGCGAAGGCGGCCUUCUGGACUGACACUGACACUGAGGUGCGAAAGCGUGGGUAGCAAACAGGAUUAGAUACCCUGGUAGUC